CAAAAACACAACCUCUGUAUAGGCUAAAAUGAAGCGCCACACAUGAUGUCCCACAGCACGUCCAAGCAGUCCAAGAUCGGACAAGAACCGAAGAAACACUGGUGGACUGCAUUGUGACUUCAAAGGGAACAGAGCAGCAUUUAGUGGAUGUUCUCAAUGGGAAACCAUCAAAGUGGUUCCCCCUAAAGCCACGUGUGCCAGUCUACAUGGACAGUGAGCAGCAGUGUGCCAUUCUUUUUCAACACCUCAAAGCUCUGCUGGAUAAUUCUAAAACUCAACUGAACUUCACAGAUGAAGUGGAGUUCAUUUGUAGUUUUCUUUUUCCUGAGGCCAUCAUUCAUGGCCUAUUUGAGAUGCAGGCAUUAUCCUGGCAGGAAGCUGAGGUUUUCCUCCAUGGCCCUACUUAUCACCCUAGUGAAGUCGAGGAAUUUGACAGAGCGAUUGCAAAAAGAAUGAAAAAAGAAGGAACAUUCGCCUACCAGAAAAUAAUUAUUUUACCUUAUGCAUUUACUUUACAUUUUAC
Long non-coding RNA from Xyrauchen texanus (razorback sucker), 523 nucleotides. RefSeq lists it as uncharacterized. The transcript has 4 exons. NCBI's taxonomy places the organism in Eukaryota, Metazoa, Chordata, Actinopteri, Cypriniformes, Catostomidae. The record is from RefSeq and is a predicted model, not a curated record.